UUGCGGUAAUCUUCUUUCAGCAUCGAUGAAAGAUUGAGUUAUUGGACAAGGCAACAGCGGUUGCAUGUCAUGUUUUUCCAAGAUUUUCUUACAAGCUGCAGACUGGGAGACUCGUGGGCCCUGGGAGCAUGGGAACCUCGAACAGAAAACAGCGCUUGCAGGGGGCUUCCCAAAGUACACUUCAUUUAUCAAUCGAGGCCCCGACACAUGCCGGUGGGGGAACCGGGGGUGAAGAUGGGGUGCGCAGUGCGAUCGGGGUGACCCGGCUGACACCGUAGAGAAAGAAGCGAAUGACACCCCCCACCGCCCCCCGCAGAAUGGCGGUCGCCAUUCCAGGGGGCCGACGGCGAGGGAAAUCCCAAACCAUCUUUGGCGAACAGCGCCGUGCAGAGCACAAGUCGCAGUCUGUAUGUUUACAUUUGGAAAGCAUCGGAUGACUGCACGGCGCUUUUGUGUUGGCUUGGUGAGUUCUUCUCGACUUGAGGGUUUUAAAAUAAUAUUAUGUUUGUGCAGUGGUCAAUACGUCAAUACGCUUCAGCGCAAUAAACGGCGACAAUCAAUUUCAAAUGCAAGCAAAUUGAGUUGUGAGGUGGUGACCCAACGGAUUAAAUUCGUAACUCAAGGUACUGUUUUCUUAGCCUCUUUUGCUAAUCCUCAAUUUGUGUCUAUUUUGGGGUGUAACUAUUGGGGCGACACGAGAGCGUGUGAAUGGCGGUCAUCUCAUCCCAACCUGCCCGGGGACUCCAGGGAGAGUUAGGAGGGCGCUUAAGUGAGAAGCAAGGUCACGGUGACAGUUGUCGGCCCCUCACGCGUACCAUUUGGACAGAAAGUGAUACGGCGGACAGCUGAGGCCGCUUGGCUCUCUCGCAAAGGGGUUCAUUCGGAGCAUCUUUACAUUCACUUUGCUCGGGCACCGCUUGUAAUGAACGUGGAACAGGAGGGCGAGUGGAAAUCUCAGCAUCUGUGCCAAUUUACACAAACCCCCCCGGCCCUCCCCCCCCUCCUGUCUCCGACACACGCCGAUUU
This is a long non-coding RNA of Hippocampus comes (tiger tail seahorse), 1026 nucleotides long. RefSeq lists it as uncharacterized. The record is from RefSeq and is a predicted model, not a curated record. The transcript has 3 exons. NCBI's taxonomy places the organism in Eukaryota, Metazoa, Chordata, Actinopteri, Syngnathiformes, Syngnathidae.